CGGGAAUAAGACGUCGGACGGAUGAAAGGACGCGGUGUGUGUGUGUGUGUAGAAGCGGAGAGAUCAGAAUAGGCUACAUGAAGCCUCUUCAUCAGGCGCAGUGUUAUGACAGAGAUCCAUAUAGGCUGUCUAUACAGGGCAGAUGUGUCCGGGUCAGUGACGUUCUGUAUCAUCAUUUACAUAUUGUACUGUACUGUGUGUAGCCUAAUGUCAGACACAAAAGUGUGUAUUUAUAGGCUAUGGUCUACGUGUGCGUGCGUGCGUGCGUGCGUGUGAUAUUCCCCGUUGUAGGUUACAAAAAACG
Ictalurus punctatus (channel catfish) is the source of this 304-nucleotide long non-coding RNA. NCBI's taxonomy places the organism in Eukaryota, Metazoa, Chordata, Actinopteri, Siluriformes, Ictaluridae. The record is from Ensembl.